AAAAAAGGUAAGCUACUAAGAGCGAAUGGUGGAUGCCUUGACUGGUAAAGGCGAUGAAGGACGUACUAGACUGCGAUAAGCUACGGGGAGCUGUCAAGAAGCUUUGAUCCGUAGAUUUCCGAAUGGGGCAACCCAGUAUAUAGAGAUAUAUACUACCAUAAUGGAGCGAACGAGGGGAAUUGAAACAUCUUAGUACCCUCAGGAAAAGAAAUCAAUAGAGAUUACGUCAGUAGCGGCGAGCGAAAGCGUAAGAGGGCAAACCCAGUGCUUGCACUGGGGGUUGUAGGACUGCAAUGUGCAAUAAGUAAGGUUAGUAGAACACUCUGGAAAGUGUAGCCAUAGAGGGUGAUAGUCCCGUAUACGAAAACCAAACUUUAGCUAGCAGUAUCCUGAGUAGGGCGAAACACGUGGAAUUUUGUCUGAAGCUGGGUCGACCACGAUCCAACCCUAAAUACUAAUACCAGAUCGAUAGUGCACAAGUACCGUGAGGGAAAGGUGAAAAGAACUGAGGUGAUCAGAGUGAAAUAGAACCUGAAACCAUUUGCUUACAAUCAUUCAGAGCACUAUGUAGCAAUACAGUGUGAUGGACUGCCUUUUGCAUAAUGAGCCUGCGAGUUGUGGUGUCUGGCAAGGUUAAGCACACGCGAAGCCGUAGCGAAAGCGAGUCUGAAUAGGGCGAUUAAGUCAGAUGCUGCAGACCCGAAACGAAGUGAUCUAUCCAUGAGCAAGUUGAAGCUAGUGUAAGAACUAGUGGAGGACUGAACCCGCUAGCGUUGAAAAGCUAUGGGAUGACUUGUGGAUAGGGGUGAAAGGCCAAUCAAACUUCGUGAUAGCUGGUUCUCUCCGAAAUAUAUUUAGGUAUAGCGUUGUGUCGUAGUAUAAGGGGGUAGAGCACUGAAUGGGCUAGGGCAUACACCAAUGUACCAAACCCUAUCAAACUCCGAAUACCUUAUAUGUAAUCACAGCAGUCAGGCGGCGAGUGAUAAAAUCCGUCGUCAAGAGGGAAACAACCCAGACUAUCAGCUAAGGUCCCCAAGUCUUACUUAAGUGGAAAACGAUGUGAAGUUACUUAAACAACCAGGAGGUUGGCUUAGAAGCAGCCAUCCUUUAAAGAAAGCGUAAUAGCUCACUGGUCUAGUGAUUUUGCGCGGAAAAUAUAACGGGGCUAAAGUAAGCACCGAAGCUAUAGACUUAGUUUACUAAGUGGUAGGAGAGCGUUCUAUUUGCGUCGAAGGUAUA
Molecule: ribosomal RNA, 1239 nt
Filed under: Campylobacter lari
Lineage: Bacteria; Pseudomonadati; Campylobacterota; Epsilonproteobacteria; Campylobacterales; Campylobacteraceae
Description: partial 23S ribosomal RNA
Rfam family: Bacterial large subunit ribosomal RNA
Source: RNAcentral